AAUAACUUUGCAGUUUUCCCUAGCUUCUUUUCAUUUUCCAUUUCUCUUUUUGUUUCCCUCUUUUCUCUUCAUUUCUUUUCCUAUUUUCUCAUUUCUUCUCAUUUCUGCAUUUCCACAGAAAAAUAGCAAAUUUCUCCCCUCUUUGCUAAAGCGUUUAUCAUAUUCACAUUAGGGAUUUUGAUUUCACCUAUUUGAUAUUCACUUUUUUCUUAAAUUUUUUAGAUUUUCAUAGUUAGGGUUUUUGUUAACCUAUUUUUUUCCUUAAUCUCAUUAAUCCCUCUUACCUGUAUGCUGAAAUUGUUUUUAGUUGUAUUGAUAUUAAUACAUUGGAAUUCAUUGUGUUGUUAGGUUAGAGUUUUAUACAGAUUGAGAAGAUUGAGAAGAUUUCAUCUACCCUUGUACCAGAAAAGGAUCCGUCAACACAAAUUGCUUCCUCUGAGAAUUGAACACCUUGUUUUGUAAGGACUCUCAGCUGACUUAGUGGAGGCGGGAAGUUGCCUCUCAUUGCUAGAUAAUUGUUGUUUCCGAGCAACAAAAGUAUUGUGGUCACCUUAGUAGCUUGCGGUUCUAGAUCAAAGGAACAUGGUGUAUUAUAUAGCAGCAGAAGAACUGGUUCUUUGUCCUCCUCACCUUGUAAUUAUACUUAAAGUAUCAAAAUUGAAAUAAUGUGUUUAAAAGCCUGAUCUUCAUUUUUCAACAACUUAGCUAUGCCUAUAGUGCAUCUGUGCAAUGAACACUAUCAUGUGUAGUUAGUCUCUUGUUUUGGUCUGUAAGACAAUAAUGUAUUUUGUGUCUAUGUAAUUUCUUGCCAAUAAUAUAAUAUAAAACUUUUGAUUCUUUGAACA
Lathyrus oleraceus (garden pea) is the source of this 845-nucleotide long non-coding RNA. RefSeq lists it as uncharacterized. NCBI's taxonomy places the organism in Eukaryota, Viridiplantae, Streptophyta, Magnoliopsida, Fabales, Fabaceae. The transcript is spliced from 3 exons. The record is from RefSeq and is a predicted model, not a curated record.